Molecule: ribosomal RNA, 808 nt
Filed under: uncultured bacterium
Lineage: Bacteria
Description: bacterial SSU rRNA
Rfam family: Bacterial small subunit ribosomal RNA
Source: RNAcentral
AGAGUUUGAUCCUGGCUCAGAACGAACGCUGGCGGCGUGGAUAAGACAUGCAAGUCGAACGGGACAACAUUUGUAGCAAUACAGAUGUUGUUUAGUGGCGAACGGGUGCGUAACACGUGGGCAAUCUGCCGAAAAGUGGGGGAUAGCUCGCCGAAAGGCGAAUUAAUACCGCAUAUGGUCAGCCAAGACAUCUUGGCGAAUCCAAAGCCGGGGCAACCUGGCGCUUUUUGAGGAGCCCGCGGCCUAUCAGCUAGUUGGUGAGGUAACGGCUCACCAAGGCUAUGACGGGUAGCUGGUCUGAGAGGACGACCAGUCACACUGGAACUGAGACACGGUCCAGACACCUACGGGUGGCAGCAGUCGAGAAUUUUUCUCAAUGGGGGAAACCCUGAAGGAGCGACGCCGCGUGGAGGAUGAAGGCUUUCGGGUUGUAAACUCCUGUCAUUUGGGAACAAGCUGCGCCGGUUAACUGCCGGAGUAUUGAUAGUACCAGAAGAGGAAGAGACGGCUAACUCUGUGCCAGCAGCCGCGGUAAUACAGAGGUCUCAAGCGUUGUUCGGAUUCAUUGGGCGUAAAGGGUGCGUAGGUGGCGCUGUAAGUCGGGUGUGAAAUUUCGAGGCUUAACCUCGAAACUGCAUUCGAUACUGCGGUGCUUGAGGACUGGAGAGGAGACUGGAAUUCAUGGUGUAGCAGUGAAAUGCGUAGAGAUCAUGAGGAAGACCAGUGGCGAAGGCGGGUCUCUGGACAGUUCCUGACACUGAGGCACGAAGGCCAGGGGAGCAAACGGGAUUAGAUACCCUAGUAGUCC